RNAcentral lists this long non-coding RNA (260 nucleotides) under Mytilus galloprovincialis (Mediterranean mussel). Lineage: Eukaryota; Metazoa; Mollusca; Bivalvia; Mytilida; Mytilidae. The record is from RNAcentral.
AAUCAAGAUUAGUGUUGUGGUGUAUGGCAAGCCGUUCUCGUCAAAACUAUGUUUAAACCAUUUUUCGAAAAAUUUACACACUGAGAAUUACAAUUACACACUGAGAAUUAAAAAUUACACACUGAGAAUUAAAAAUUACACACUGAGAUUUCAUCAAGACGCACUGAGAUUACAAAAAUGAAAAACACACACUGAGAAUUGAAAAUUACACACUGAGAUUUCAAAAAGACACACUGAGAAUAAAUAAACUGAAAACACAC